Molecule: small nuclear RNA, 105 nt
Organism: Onychomys torridus (southern grasshopper mouse)
Lineage: Eukaryota; Metazoa; Chordata; Mammalia; Rodentia; Cricetidae
Source: RefSeq, a predicted model, not a curated record
GUUCACAUUGGCAGCACAUACAUGUAAAUCAGAACAAUACAUAGAAGAUUAGCAUGGCCCUUCUGCAAGGAUGACACUCAAAUCUGUGAAGCAUUCCAUACUUCU